Molecule: ribosomal RNA, 253 nt
Filed under: uncultured bacterium
Lineage: Bacteria
Description: partial 16S ribosomal RNA
Rfam family: Bacterial small subunit ribosomal RNA
Source: RNAcentral
UACGGGGGGGGCAAGCGUUGUUCGGAAUUACUGGGCGUAAAGGGCUCGUAGGCGGCCAACUAAGUCAGACGUGAAAUCCCUCGGCUUAACCGAGGAACUGCCCUCCAAACUGCUUGGCUUGAGUCCGGGAGAGGUGAGUGGAAUUCCCAGUGUAGCGGUGAAAUGCGUAGAUAUUGGGAGGAACACCAGUGGCGAAGGCGGCUCACUGGACCGGAACUGACGCUGAGGCGCGAAAGCGUGGGGAGCAAACGGG